RNAcentral lists this ribosomal RNA (422 nucleotides) under uncultured bacterium. RNAcentral's name for it is "bacterial SSU rRNA". It matches the Rfam family "Bacterial small subunit ribosomal RNA", at positions 17 to 465 of the family's 1533-position model. The record is from RNAcentral.
CCAUGGCUCAGAACGAACGCUGGCGGCAGGCCUAACACAUGCAAGUCGAGCGGGCCCUUUCGGGGUCAGCGGCGGACGGGUGAGUAACGCGUGGGAACGUGCCCUUCGGUGCGGAAUAGCUUCGGGAAACUGGGGGUAAUACCGCAUACGGUCUACGGACGAAAGAUUUAUUGCCGAGGGGUCGGCCCGCGUUGGAUUAGGUAGUUGGUGGGGUAAUGGCCUACCAAGCCGACGAUCCAUAGCUGGUUUGAGAGGAUGAUCAGCCACACUGGGACUGAGACACGGCCCAGACUCCUACGGGAGGCAGCAGUGGGGAAUCUUAGACAAUGGGGGAAACCCUGAUCUAGCCAUGCCGCGUGAGCAGAUGAAGGCCUUAGGGUUGUAAAGCUUCUUUCAGCUGGAAGAAAUGCGGACCACAGAGA